CGAUUUACGGAUUUAAUUGCGUAUAUUUAUAUUUAAUUAUUAAUUAUUUGACUUCCGUAAAACCGUCCACUCGUAACGGUUUAGCGAUUUUUCUUCCCGGAAGUUUCAACAAAACUGACCUUUAGCCUAAUUUGAAUAUUCCGGACAUUUUUCGUGUUUUGACUUUUUCGAUCCGGAGUACGGUUUUUCCCGGAGUCGGUCCGGCGGAGUUUUGCGGGUAUUUGAAUUGUUGAUAAUUAUCCAGUUUGUCUCGAUAAGCGUGAAACUAGAUAUUUUGAUUAUUAUAUUAAUUCUUAUCUUGUAAUAAUUGCAGUGGGACCCGCAUACUAAUGACUGAUUAAAAAGCCCCGUUUUGAUGAUUAUCUUGAAAACCAGUACCGAUUGGACCCCGCUAUAUUAAUAUAAAGCUAUUAAAUACGUAUUUUCAUGUCAUAAACGAUCCAAAGGGGUACCAAUUAUUUGUAAAUAUAAAUAGACUUUUCUAUAGCUGAUUUUCACCCGUAAAAUCAUUUCACCAGUUUCUUUUCACGAAUACCGAGAGAAACCGAGCUGCGUUCUUCGUGUUCUUCGUAAUCAAACGAAGAUUUGAAGGUGUUAUUGGAGUCAGAAUCAAGCGUACGAAUAGUCAAAUCGAAGGUAUCGAAGAGUAGAACCUAUAUCUGCAAUCAAAAACAACAUGAGAUUCAUAGAAAGGCUUAAAGAUGAGAUGAUUGAUUGAGAUUGUGAGUAAGGCUAAUGCUAGGCGAGGAGACAGAGUUGAGGAUCCAGUGGUCGAGGAGUGUUCAGGAAAGUUGAUGAGGUUGGUGCAAGCUGGAAUAGUUGACAGUGAUUCUUCUUAUCGAAGAUGAUCUGAUUUGGUAAGAGAUGUUGUGUAAUAAUAGUGGUAGAUUCUAAUUUCAAUACUGUAACCUGGAUGCGAUCCUGUUGAUUUUAGGGGGUUUAAAUGUUCUCUUUCGAAUCAUUUAUUAAAGUUUAAAUGUUCUCUUGAAA
This is a long non-coding RNA of Daucus carota subsp. sativus, 990 nucleotides long. RefSeq lists it as uncharacterized. NCBI's taxonomy places the organism in Eukaryota, Viridiplantae, Streptophyta, Magnoliopsida, Apiales, Apiaceae. The record is from RefSeq and is a predicted model, not a curated record. The transcript is spliced from 2 exons.